CAAGACCGUGAGGUGGAGCAAAACUCAAAAACUUAGUCUCAGUUCGGAUUGUAGGCUGAAACUCGCCUACAUGAAGCUGGAGUUGCUAGUAAUCGCGAAUCAGCAUGUCGCGGUGAAUACGUUCCCGGGCCUUGUACACACCGCCCGUCACACCAUGAGAGUUGGCAAUACCCAACGUACGUGAUCUAACCCGCAAGGGAGGAAGCGUCCUAAGGUAGGGUCAGCGAUUGGGGUGAAGUCGUAACAAGGUACC
This 253-nucleotide ribosomal RNA is filed under the name uncultured bacterium. Its description in RNAcentral is "partial 16S ribosomal RNA". It matches the Rfam family "Bacterial small subunit ribosomal RNA", at positions 1250 to 1500 of the family's 1533-position model. The record is from RNAcentral.